CCCUUACCCCUACCAGCCACCACACAUUAACCCUAUCCCCACCCACGCGUUGUUUCCGGCGACGGCGCCGCCGUUCUCUUGCUCUCUUCUUCACGCACCGCCGUCCGCUCCGCGGCCGUUCCAUCUCCUGCUCACCUGCCUCACCUUAUCCCCUCCUCCUCCCACUCUCUCUUCCUUUAUGCGCUCCCGUGCUCCUAGUGCCUCCUUCGGGGUCCCGCAGCCAGAUGCGGCCGCCUAGGGUUCGCUGCGGCCGGAGAUGGCUACCAUGGAGGUCGCCCCCGUCAGAUCUAGCGGCCCAGUCCUCUACCAGGUGCCGUAGUCAAGGAGGACAGAGCGCCAUCACCAGGCUGGUGCAGGGUGAGCUCUGGCCCUCCUACCGACCGGUGUGUACCUUGCUCUUGGGGUAGCACCGAGCGACGGCGGCGACUACAAGAUGCAGCAGAAGCGGCGGAUGGCCAAGAAUCUAGGCCUCCGACCAUUGGCGGUUGUUGUUGUGGCAGAAGAGUCGGUACAGUGUUCGCGCCUCCGCCCUGUUCAGCCUUGCCUCCAUCAACUUUGGAACUCCCGGUAAGCAUAUUCAUAAUCCUGUCUUCAUCGUGAUUGUGUAAAAAGCUGGAUAUGGAUGAAGACGAAGACCAAGGGCAGAUUUCGUAUAUCUGUUAGCUUUACAUCUGUUUUCUGUAGUUUAUUUUUGCCACGUGAAGCAGGAUGAGUUUAGAUUUGUUCAUGAAAUUGGUUGUAAUAGAGAUAGGACUGUAAUGCCCAGAUGCAUUUUCAAGUGGAUACCUAUUGCCUAAACUACAAGAACACUAAGAGAAGGUCAUUGAAUCCAAUUUUAUUUUAAAUUAAGCGGGCAAGUGGCGGGAAUCGAACCCGUAGUGCUAGCAGUUUUUUUUGUUUUGUUUUGUUUUGCAGCACUUGCUUUAAUUGAAGGUUUGCAUCAUAAAUAGGACAAGAGAGAUCCAUGAUCACAUUUGCGAUGUCUGAAGCCUAAAGCUAACACUAAACGAACCGGUUCAAGUUCCAGCAGGAAUAAGUAUAAUUUUUGCAUGAUUAUGUUUUACUAGACCUAAUAGUGUAAUUUGUUUCAACUGUUUAGUCUUCAGGCUGUACAUUAGGCCAACAGGCCAAUACUGUUUUUUAUAGUUAGGGUUGUUAUUAUAUGGAAAACACAUACUGGUUCGGUGCUACAGUUUGUCCAUUUCAGGUCAACAAUUUCUAAGCUUCCACAUUUUACGUGACUCCAUUUUUAUGCAGGUGAUGAGCUGGAGCUCCCAAAUAGACACCGUGCUUCAUAAUCAGCUCCAAAUUCUCAAUCCUGUAGCACUAACAUUAUUUGGUAAAACAAUGGAAAUACGUUUCACAAAAAUAGCGGUACAUGAUAAAAACCAUAUCCAUAUGAUGAUACAAAAAGCGGCACCUAAAUCAAGUGCAUACCAUUCUUAAUCCUGUCUCCAGGUACUUUAAUUUCCAAGAAAGUCUGGCCCUCAACAACCUUAUUAUCUUAGUGAUUCCUGAUCUUCCAUCAAAGAAUAUCAAUUCAUUGCAAAUACAACACCAUUAUUAUCGAUUUCUUUUCAUUGCUAUCAAGUACUACCUCCGUACCAAAAUAUAAGAUGUUUUUGUAGGCUAAACUAGCCUACAAAAAUGUCUUAUAUUUUGAUAUGGAGGUAAUAACUUUUUGACCAUAAUCCAAAUCGAAACCAUCAAAAUCGUUUGAUUUAUAGGGUUCUUCCUCCUGGCAGCGGCGCAAUUUGUUGGCUCGCUCAUCAGCUGUGAUACCCCAUGUCCCCUGUCCGCACCUGCUGAUAAAAAGUGGAUGGGGGGCUUCCAUGCUACAUCCAUGGCUACUGCUGGAAAUUGAUUGACGAUCUUCAUGUCCCAAAAUGCUAGUUUUAUAGAUUUGGCAAGUGUAUUCUUCAUUUUAUGUUGUUGUGUGUGUGCACAGUGCACAUGUGAAUUUUCCAUGCAUUCAAUUUCAUAAAUUAAUUGAGCAUUCUAAAAGUUGGGACUUGUUUAACUUUUGUAGGAAGCAAAUAUAAGGACUGGACUCACAAUGAACCAUGAAGCCAGCAGUCCACGUCAACUAGAUGUCUGAGCUUUCAUUUUGUACAACUGAUUGCUCGUACUUGCAUCUUUUAUCUGUCCUUCUGUGAACCUGAUGUAUGGUGGCUUGGUGGUUAUGUUUAGAACAGACUGAAGUGUAUGUAUGUGAUGAUUAGUUAAUGAAAUAAAAAAUGUUUGGUGCACCUGAAAUAUGGUGUCUUGGUGAUUA
Molecule: long non-coding RNA, 2275 nt
Organism: Triticum dicoccoides
Lineage: Eukaryota; Viridiplantae; Streptophyta; Magnoliopsida; Poales; Poaceae
Exons: 2
Source: RefSeq, a predicted model, not a curated record